CAUUUGUUAUCUCAGUAUGCUGCUUCUGUUCAUCUUCCUUCUGGGACUUUGAUGGAGGAAGAAAAACUAGCUGCAUUAGGCUUGUCUGAUCAGCUUCCUCCUGCUCAAGGACUAUUUCAAGCUAAUCCAUCCCGGUUGCCUUUUUCUGUCAGUCAGCUUCCCACUGCCAUACCCACCAUUGGAACUCAUGUUAUCAUCAACCCAAAGCUCAAUUCUUGGGGCUUGCACUUGCAUUUUCAAAGGGUGGUUCCUAUCGUAAUGGAUAGGGCAAUCAAAGAAAUAGUGUCUGGCAUCGUUCAACGUAGUGUUUCUAUAGCUACACAGACAACAAAGGAACUUGUUUUGAAGGAUUAUGCCAUG
This 360-nucleotide unclassified non-coding RNA is filed under the name Hevea brasiliensis (rubber tree). Lineage: Eukaryota; Viridiplantae; Streptophyta; Magnoliopsida; Malpighiales; Euphorbiaceae. The record is from RNAcentral.